UACGGGAGGCAGCAGUGGGGAAUUUUGGGCAAUGGGCGAAAGCCUGACCCAGCAACGCCGCGUGAAGGAUGAAAUCCCUCGGGAUGUAAACUUCGCAAGAACGGGAAGAAUAAGUAGGGGACAAUACCCCCUAUGAUGACGGUACCGUUUGUAAGCUCCGGCUAACUCCGUGCCAGCAGCCGCGGUAAUUCGGGGGGAGCAAGCGUUGUUCGGAUUUACUGGGCGUAAAGGGCGCGUAGGCGGCCAGCACAAGUCAGUUGUGAAAUCUCCGAGCUUAACUCGGAAAGGUCAACUGAUACUGUGCGGCUAGAGUGCGGAAGGGGCAACUGGAAUUCUUGGUGUAGCGGUGAAAUGCGUAGAUAUCAAGAGGAACACCUGCGGCGAAGGCGGGUUGCUGGGCCGACACUGACGCUGAGGCGCGAAAGCCAGGGGAGCGAACGGGAUUAGAUACCCCGGUAGUCCUGGCCUUAAACGAUGAAUGCUUGGUGUCUGGGGUUAUAUAGUCCCCGGGUGCCGUCGCUAACGCUUUAAGCAUUCCGCCUGGGGAGUACGGUCGCAAGACUGAAACUCAAAGGAAUUGACGGGGACCCGCACAAGCGGUGGAGCAUGUGGUUUAAUUCGACGCAACGCGAAGAACCUUACCUGGGCUAGAAUGCCUCUGACAACCCUAGAGAUAGGGCCUCCAAGGUAAAACUUGGCAGAGUGCAAGGUGCUGCAUGGCUGUCGUCAGCUCGUGUCGUGAGAUGUUGGGUUAAGUCCCGCAACGAGCGCAACCCUUAUCUUUAGUUGCCAGCAUUAAGUUGGGCACUCUAGAGAGACUGCCGUUGACAAAACGGAGGAAGGUGGGGAUGACGUCAAGUCCUCAUGGCCUUUAUGUCCAGGGCUACACACGUGCUACAAUGGCCGGUACAAACCGCUGCAAACCUGCAAAGGGGAGCCAAUCGGAAAAAGCCGGUCUCAGUUCGGAUUGAAGUCUGCAACUCGACUUCAUGAAGUUGGAAUC
RNAcentral lists this ribosomal RNA (1003 nucleotides) under uncultured bacterium. Its description in RNAcentral is "bacterial SSU rRNA". It matches the Rfam family "Bacterial small subunit ribosomal RNA", at positions 340 to 1333 of the family's 1533-position model. The record is from RNAcentral.